CAUCCAGACCGGCUGAGGGACAGGCCCGACGACGCCGGGGCAACCGGCCCGCAUCUCGCGGGUGCACGGUGCCAAUUCCUGCGGAGGGCGCGGUUGCCCGCCGGAAGAU
This 109-nucleotide non-coding RNA is filed under the name Mobilicoccus massiliensis. RNAcentral's name for it is "SAM riboswitch (S box leader)". It matches the Rfam family "SAM riboswitch aptamer (S box leader)". From Rfam's summary of the family: The SAM riboswitch is found upstream of a number of genes which code for proteins involved in methionine or cysteine biosynthesis in Gram-positive bacteria. The SAM riboswitch acts at the level of transcription termination control. The predicted structure consists of a complex stem-loop region followed by a single stem loop terminator region. Lineage: Bacteria; Bacillati; Actinomycetota; Actinomycetes; Micrococcales; Dermatophilaceae. The record is from RNAcentral.